Molecule: ribosomal RNA, 301 nt
Filed under: uncultured bacterium
Lineage: Bacteria
Description: partial 16S ribosomal RNA
Rfam family: Bacterial small subunit ribosomal RNA
Source: RNAcentral
CAGUCGCCGCGGGAAAACGGAGGGGGCUAGCGUUGUUCGGAAUUACUGGGCGUAAAGCGCACGUAGGCGGCUUGGUAAGUUAGAGGUGAAAGCCCGGAGCUCAACUCCGGAAUUGCCUUUAAGACUGCCGAGCUUGUAGGUGAGAGAGGUAAGUGGAAUUCCGAGUGUAGAGGUGAAAUUCGUAGAUAUUCGGAAGAGCACCAGUGGCGAAGGCGGCUUACUGGCUCAUUCUAGACGCUGAGGUGCGAAAGCGUGGGGAGCAAGCAGGAUUAGAGACCCCCGUAGUCCCUGUCUCUUAUAC